This 3171-nucleotide long non-coding RNA is filed under the name Sarcophilus harrisii (Tasmanian devil). RNAcentral's name for it is "lncRNA (ENSSHAG00000026912.1)". Lineage: Eukaryota; Metazoa; Chordata; Mammalia; Dasyuromorphia; Dasyuridae. The record is from RNAcentral.
ACAGGAUCAUGAAACUACAAAGUUUCAGAGUUGGAAUCGGUACAUAGUGCUUCCAAUUUCAAGAAUCUUUGCAUUGAAGAUUUCUUCAUUAAAAAAAAUGGUAUUGUUGCAUUGGAUCUAUUCUUCCCUUCUGCAACUACAAUCCAUCACCUUAAUUUGUUGUAGGUAUUCAAUAGUUUUUUUUUUUUGUGUGUGUAUGUGUGUGUGUGUAUGUGUGUGUCAGAGAGAGACAGAGAGACACACAGAGAGAGGCAGAGACAGAGACAGAGAUAGACAGAAACAAUGAGAAACAGAGAGAGGGAGAGAGAAAGAGAAAGAGAAAGAGAAAGAGAGAGAGAGAGAAAUUGGAAGAGGAAGCUUUGAAAACUUAUAAAUUUGAUAAGUUGUAUGGACAGACAAGAAUAUAAAAUAUUUUAACAAUGUUGUCUUUAUGCAGGAAGUCAUAAUCAGUGACUAAACUAAAGAAAUGAAUACAAGAAAAGAUUCUUUUUAGUUAAAAUCCAGAACAAAGCUUGAAAAUCACUCAAAGUAUCCUCAGCUGUUCUUCCUUAUCUCCAUCCUCCAAGGAUAUUGUUUAAAUUUCACAUCCCUCUAUUCUUGGUAACCUGCAAAAGUUUCUCAAGUAGCUCUCAACUGUACUUUUAAAAAUUAUUUUAAUUCAUAAUCAUUAUUAAUUAGUAAUGGGUGUAUCAUCACCAAUCAAUAAAAAUAGCUGCUGAUAUUUUCUAUGUGGAACAAAUUUCAAGCCUUUGAUGGUACUCUUGAGAUUUUAUGAAGUCAGCACUACUCGUUUUAUUACUGAAAUGAUAAUCACAUCUCUAAAGGAAGAGAGAAUCUUGAAUCUAUAAAUACCUUAUGUCUUCCUCUUCUCAUCUCCAUUCUCUGAGUGGCAGAUCCCAGCUUUACCGCACAGUGGCAGAGUCCAGACUGGUGAGGGUCUUCCUCCUUAUGAUUCUGAAUCAGGUCCUUAGAGGUAGAGCUUCAUCUCACUUCCUGGAAGUAAAAAGGGAAGCACAGAGAGAUCAAAAUCCUCUUUUUGCUGCAAAUAGGGAAGGCAGGCUGGUUUUUUUCAUCAGAAUCCUAGCUAGGUAAUGUCUUUGUUAUCUGCUACUAGGCCAAGUCCCCUUUGCUGCAUAUAUGGGCUAGUGAAGUGUCCCCAGAUCUAAUCUUUUUGAUUUAAGUGAUCCUUCUAAUCUUUGUAUGUAUUUUUGUCAGACAGCUUCCAAAUCCCGAUCACCAUUUUUAUCACAAACUUUUUGUUUCAUAAAUUCAUAGAGCACAGGAUCAGGAGGGAAUGUUUCCUGUAUUCUAUUUGUAAUUCUUGUUGAUUGAUAGAUAAGAGAAUUGUAAGUGACCUGAGAACUCCUGUAACUGAAUCCUCAGAAGGAGGAAAGAAAAACAAUACAGGUGGCCUCCAUCACUUCAGCAAAAUGAAAUGUAAAAUCCUUUCUACUUUGCAAUUCUUGAGUAGAUAGCAUCUGCAACAAGUAUAAACUUUCUAAAUGUUCACUUUUCCUUUUCUUUCUUUAAACAAAGAUUAUUGUAUUUCCUAGAGGUAUUAUUUUGCUUUCUGGUGGCUAAAACCUUUCCCCUACUUUGGUUUUCCCUACUUUGAAAGAUAUUAGUAUUGGAAUAGAAUCUUCAUAUAAUACUGCUUAUUGGCUAUGUAUCCUUCUCUGAAAGGGCUCAUUACUGGGGUCCAAUUUCUACUUAAAGAAAGACAUAUUCUUGGAUUGGAAAGUUGUUAAGGGACAGGUCAAUUCUUUGAGAGCCUCCACAGCUGUGGAUCAUAGCAUCUGAAGGAGUUGCAGGCAGCCUUUUCUGACACAGGUGUUGCAGACUGGGAAUGAGAUAAAUUGGGGGCAGAGGGAGGAGGAGAGAGGUCAGACAAGGCAACGGCCUCUCAGGAGAGAGGUCAGAGAACAGCAACUGUCUGUCAGUUUCCUUGUGUAUCAUCUUCUCACAAGAUGAGAUCCAUUCUAGGUUGGAACUCCAGCAGCCACUGUCAGGUGGCUCCUGUGUGUCCCAGCAGCUCUCCCGUGUAUUCCAACAUAUGGCACCUGAACGUGGGGUAAGAAUUACAAGAAGAACCAGAGCUGUUCAUGAGAAGGAUCCUUCUAGAAUUAAGGAAGAAGAGUCCUGGUAAGAAUUUUUUAUUUGGGGAAAUUAAAUGGACCAACAAAUCAAAGGGCCGAGCCAGGAGACUGAUGAGAGACUUAAAUGCUUGUUCUGACCACAGCCCUCUUCUCUGUUUGAAAGUCUGCCUCCAAGAGAUUUCACAAGAUCAAUACCUGCUACAACCAUCCAGAAGGGGCAGUGCCCCUUGCAUUUCUCAGUGCACUGGUGUGUGUGUGUGUGUGUGUGUGUGUGUGAGAAAUAACAGCAAAAAACAAACAAACAAAAAAACCAGGGAAUUGUUAAGGGACAGGUCAAUUCCUCGAGAGCCUCCCCAGAUGUGCAUCACAGCAUCUGAAGGAGUUGCAGGGCAGCCUUUGCUGACUUGGGGACUGGGAAUGAGAUAAGUUGGAGGCAGAUGGAAGAGGAGGGAGGUGAGACAAUGCAAUGGUCUCAGUCAGAGUUGUUGGAGAACAGCAACUGUCUCGGUUUCCUUGUCUCAUCCCCUCAUAAGAGGAGAUCUAUUCUGGCGGCUGAAGAUCCAAUCCACUGUCAGGUGGCUCCCGUGUAUUCCAACAGAAAGUCACUUCCUAGUGAGGGACACCCUAAGUAGUUUCAAAUAAAUAUGUAGGUUUCUUUUCAGUUAAUCUCUGAAACUAUUCACUUCCAGUUAGACUGAAUUAGUAGAUGAGAUUCUACCUUGUUUCUCCUGGAACCAUAAUUAAAAUUUCUCCAAAAAUUUAGAAAUGUGAUGAUUACAACUUUCCUGAGGUCACAGAGUGAUGGAAAUGAAACAGCACAUUGGAGUGGAAUCACAAAGAAAUCAGAGGAUUUUGGGGAAAUGGAAAGCUUCCAUUCCAAUCUCUCCAGAUAGCACCAACAAAUUAGAUGCCUUCCCUGCCCCCCUUUCUCAAUGCCCCUUUACUUGUGAUGUAAUCUCCUGUAUAAGAGCUGUGUAUUUUUACUACUUCUUUAGCCCUCCUACCACAAGCUUUCUCUUUCCCUUAUGUUGUGAUAGGACUAAUCCUCUAGAGGUUUUAAUAAACAAUCUUUCUG